Molecule: ribosomal RNA, 2902 nt
Filed under: Klebsiella pneumoniae
Lineage: Bacteria; Pseudomonadati; Pseudomonadota; Gammaproteobacteria; Enterobacterales; Enterobacteriaceae
Description: 23S ribosomal RNA
Rfam family: Bacterial large subunit ribosomal RNA
Source: RNAcentral
GGUUAAGCGACUAAGCGUACACGGUGGAUGCCCUGGCAGUCAGAGGCGAUGAAGGACGUGCUAAUCUGCGAAAAGCGUCGGUAAGGUGAUAUGAACCGUUACAGCCGGCGAUGUCCGAAUGGGGAAACCCAGUGCAAUUCGUUGCACUAUCGUUAACUGAAUACAUAGGUUAACGAGGCGAACCGGGGGAACUGAAACAUCUAAGUACCCCGAGGAAAAGAAAUCAACCGAGAUUCCCCCAGUAGCGGCGAGCGAACGGGGAGCAGCCCAGAGUCUGAAUCAGCUUGUGUGUUAGUGGAACGGUCUGGAAAGUCCGACGGUACAGGGUGAUAGUCCCGUACACCAAAAUGCACAGGUUGUGAACUCGAAGAGUAGGGCGGGACACGUGGUAUCCUGUCUGAAUAUGGGGGGACCAUCCUCCAAGGCUAAAUACUCCUGACUGACCGAUAGUGAACCAGUACCGUGAGGGAAAGGCGAAAAGAACCCCGGCGAGGGGAGUGAAAAAGAACCUGAAACCGUGUACGUACAAGCAGUGGGAGCACCUUCGGGUGUGACUGCGUACCUUUUGUAUAAUGGGUCAGCGACUUAUAUUCUGUAGCAAGGUUAACCGUAUAGGGGAGCCGCAGGGAAACCGAGUCUUAACUGGGCGUUAAGUUGCAGGGUAUAGACCCGAAACCCGGUGAUCUAGCCAUGGGCAGGUUGAAGGUUGGGUAACACUAACUGGAGGACCGAACCGACUAAUGUUGAAAAAUUAGCGGAUGACUUGUGGCUGGGGGUGAAAGGCCAAUCAAACCGGGAGAUAGCUGGUUCUCCCCGAAAGCUAUUUAGGUAGCGCCUCGUGAACUCAUCUUCGGGGGUAGAGCACUGUUUCGGCUAGGGGGUCAUCCCGACUUACCAACCCGAUGCAAACUACGAAUACCGAAGAAUGUUAUCACGGGAGACACACGGCGGGUGCUAACGUCCGUCGUGAAGAGGGAAACAACCCAGACCGCCAGCUAAGGUCCCAAAGUCAUGGUUAAGUGGGAAACGAUGUGGGAAGGCACAGACAGCCAGGAUGUUGGCUUAGAAGCAGCCAUCAUUUAAAGAAAGCGUAAUAGCUCACUGGUCGAGUCGGCCUGCGCGGAAGAUGUAACGGGGCUAAACCAUGCACCGAAGCUGCGGCAGCGACACGAUGUGUUGUUGGGUAGGGGAGCGUUCUGUAAGCCUGCGAAGGUGACCUGUGAGGGUUGCUGGAGGUAUCAGAAGUGCGAAUGCUGACAUAAGUAACGAUAAAGCGGGUGAAAAGCCCGCUCGCCGGAAGACCAAGGGUUCCUGUCCAACGUUAAUCGGGGCAGGGUGAGUCGACCCCUAAGGCGAGGCCGAAAGGCGUAGUCGAUGGGAAACAGGUUAAUAUUCCUGUACUUGGUGUUACUGCGAAGGGGGGACGGAGAAGGCUAUGUUAGCCGGGCGACGGUUGUCCCGGUUUAAGCAUGUAGGCUGGUUAUCCAGGCAAAUCCGGAUAAUCAAGGCUGAGGUGUGAUGACGAGGCACUACGGUGCUGAAGUAACAAAUGCCCUGCUUCCAGGAAAAGCCUCUAAGCAUCAGGUAACAUCAAAUCGUACCCCAAACCGACACAGGUGGUCAGGUAGAGAAUACCAAGGCGCUUGAGAGAACUCGGGUGAAGGAACUAGGCAAAAUGGUGCCGUAACUUCGGGAGAAGGCACGCUGGUGUGUAGGUGAAGUCCCUGCGGAUGGAGCUGAGACCAGUCGAAGAUACCAGCUGGCUGCAACUGUUUAUUAAAAACACAGCACUGUGCAAACACGAAAGUGGACGUAUACGGUGUGACGCCUGCCCGGUGCCGGAAGGUUAAUUGAUGGGGUUAUCCGUAAGGAGAAGCUCUUGAUCGAAGCCCCGGUAAACGGCGGCCGUAACUAUAACGGUCCUAAGGUAGCGAAAUUCCUUGUCGGGUAAGUUCCGACCUGCACGAAUGGCGUAAUGAUGGCCAGGCUGUCUCCACCCGAGACUCAGUGAAAUUGAACUCGCUGUGAAGAUGCAGUGUACCCGCGGCAAGACGGAAAGACCCCGUGAACCUUUACUAUAGCUUGACACUGAACAUUGAGCCUUGAUGUGUAGGAUAGGUGGGAGGCUUUGAAGCGUGGACGCCAGUCUGCGUGGAGCCAACCUUGAAAUACCACCCUUUAAUGUUUGAUGUUCUAACGUUGGCCCCUGACCGGGGUUGCGGACAGUGUCUGGUGGGUAGUUUGACUGGGGCGGUCUCCUCCCAAAGCGUAACGGAGGAGCACGAAGGUUAGCUAAUCCUGGUCGGACAUCAGGAGGUUAGUGCAAUGGCAUAAGCUAGCUUGACUGCGAGCGUGACGGCGCGAGCAGGUGCGAAAGCAGGUCAUAGUGAUCCGGUGGUUCUGAAUGGAAGGGCCAUCGCUCAACGGAUAAAAGGUACUCCGGGGAUAACAGGCUGAUACCGCCCAAGAGUUCAUAUCGACGGCGGUGUUUGGCACCUCGAUGUCGGCUCAUCACAUCCUGGGGCUGAAGUAGGUCCCAAGGGUAUGGCUGUUCGCCAUUUAAAGUGGUACGCGAGCUGGGUUUAGAACGUCGUGAGACAGUUCGGUCCCUAUCUGCCGUGGGCGCUGGAGAAUUGAGGGGGGCUGCUCCUAGUACGAGAGGACCGGAGUGGACGCAUCACUGGUGUUCGGGUUGUCAUGCCAAUGGCACUGCCCGGUAGCUAAAUGCGGAAGAGAUAAGUGCUGAAAGCAUCUAAGCACGAAACUUGCCCCGAGAUGAGUUCUCCCUGAGACUUUAAGUCUCCUGAAGGAACGUUAAAGACGAUGACGUUGAUAGGCCGGGUGUGUAAGCGCAGCGAUGCGUUGAGCUAACCGGUACUAAUGAACCGUGAGGCUUAACCUU